RNAcentral lists this ribosomal RNA (704 nucleotides) under Bacillus mycoides. Its description in RNAcentral is "bacterial SSU rRNA". It matches the Rfam family "Bacterial small subunit ribosomal RNA", at positions 89 to 778 of the family's 1533-position model. Lineage: Bacteria; Bacillati; Bacillota; Bacilli; Caryophanales; Bacillaceae. The record is from RNAcentral.
AAGUUAGCGGCGGACGGGUGAGUAACACGUGGGUAACCUACCCAUAAGACUGGGAUAACUCCGGGAAACCGGGGCUAAUACCGGAUAAUAUUUUGAACUGCAUAGUUCGAAAUUGAAAGGCGGCUUCGGCUGUCACUUAUGGAUGGACCCGCGUCGCAUUAGCUAGUUGGUGAGGUAACGGCUCACCAAGGCGACGAUGCGUAACCGACCUGAGAGGGUGAUCGGCCACACUGGGACUGAGACACGGCCCACACUCCUACGGGAGGCAGCAGUAGGGAAUCUUCCGCAAUGGACGAAAGUCUGACGGAGCAACGCCGCGUGAGUGAUGAAGGCUUUCGGGUCGUAAAACUCUGUUGUUAGGGAAGAACAAGUGCUAGUUGAAUAAGCUGGCACCUUGACGGUACCUAACCAGAAAGCCACGGCUAACUACGUGCCAGCAGCCGCGGUAAUACGUAGGUGGCAAGCGUUAUCCGGAAUUAUUGGGCGUAAAGCGCGCGCAGGUGGUUUCUUAAGUCUGAUGUGAAAGCCCACGGCUCAACCGUGGAGGGUCAUUGGAAACUGGGAGACUUGAGUGCAAAAGAGGAAAGUGGAAUUCCAUGUGUAGCGGUGAAAUGCGUAUAGAUAUGGAGGAACACCAGUGGCGAAGGCGACUUUCUGGUCUGUAACUGACACUGAGGCGCGAAAGCGUGGGGAGCAAACAGGAU